GACGAACGCUGGCGGCGUGCUUAACACAUGCAAGUCGAACGGAAAGGCCCUGCUUUUUUGGGGUGCUCGAGUUGCGAACGGGUGACUAACACGUGAGUAACCUGCCCUUGACUGUGGGAUAACUUCAUGAAACUUGGGCUAUUACCGGCUAGGAUCUCCUGCUGCAUGGUGGGGGUUGGAUAGUUUCGGUGGUUGGUGAUGGACUCGCCGCCUAUUAGCUUGUUCGUGGGGUAGUGGAUUAGCAAGGCUUUGACCGGUAGCCGGCCUGCGAGGGUGACCGGCCACACUGGGAUUGAGAUACGACACGGCCUCCUACCGGAGGCAGCAGUGGGGAAUAUUACACAAUGGGCGGAAGCAUGAUGCGGCACAGCAGUGUGGGGGAUGACGGCAUUGGGGUUGUAUUCCACUUUCCCCUGUGACGAAGUGUGAGUGACGGUAAUGGGUAAAGAAGCACCGGCUAACUCCGUG
Molecule: ribosomal RNA, 468 nt
Filed under: uncultured bacterium
Lineage: Bacteria
Description: partial 16S ribosomal RNA
Rfam family: Bacterial small subunit ribosomal RNA
Source: RNAcentral